RNAcentral lists this ribosomal RNA (304 nucleotides) under uncultured Bacillota bacterium. Its description in RNAcentral is "bacterial SSU rRNA". It matches the Rfam family "Bacterial small subunit ribosomal RNA", at positions 28 to 351 of the family's 1533-position model. Lineage: Bacteria; Bacillati; Bacillota. The record is from RNAcentral.
GAUGAACGCUGGCGGCGUGCCUAAUACAUGCAAGUCGAGCGAACCACUUCGGUGGUGAGCGGCGAACGGGUGAGUAACACGUAGGUCAUCUGCCCAUCAGACGGGGACAACGAUUGGAAACGAUCGCUAAUACCGGAUAGGACGAAAGUUUAAAGGUGCUCUUGGCACCGCUGAUGGAUGAGCCUGCGGCGCAUUAGCUAGUUGGUAGGGUAAAGGCCUACCAAGGCGACGAUGCGUAGCCGACCUGAGAGGGUGAACGGCCACACUGGGACUGAGACACGGCCCAGACUCCUACGGGAGGCUG